Molecule: ribosomal RNA, 316 nt
Filed under: uncultured eukaryote
Lineage: Eukaryota
Description: partial 18S ribosomal RNA
Rfam family: Eukaryotic small subunit ribosomal RNA
Source: RNAcentral
CCCUUAGAUGUUCUGGGCCGCACGCGCGCUACACUGAUGCAUUCAACGAGCCUAUCCUUGACCGACAGGUCCGGGUAAUCUUUGAAUCUGCAUCGUGACGGGGAUAGAUUAUUGCAAUUAUUAAUCUUCAACGAGGAAUGCCUAGUAGGCGCAAGUCAUCAGCUUGCGUCGAUUACGUCCCUGCCCUUUGUACACACCGCCCGUCGCUCCUACCGAUUUUGAGUGAUCCGGUGAACCUUUUGGACUGCGGUGUCUUCAUGGCACUCGUGGGAAGUUAAGUAAACCUUAUCACUUAGAGGAAGGAGAAGUCGUAACA